This 253-nucleotide ribosomal RNA is filed under the name uncultured bacterium. RNAcentral's name for it is "partial 16S ribosomal RNA". It matches the Rfam family "Bacterial small subunit ribosomal RNA", at positions 524 to 776 of the family's 1533-position model. The record is from RNAcentral.
UACAGAGGUCUCAAGCGUUGUUCGGAUUCAUUGGGCGUAAAGGGUGCGUAGGUGGCGCCAUAAGUCAGGUGUGAAAUCUCCGGGCUUAACUCGGAAAGGUCAACUGAUACUGUGCGACUAGAGUGCGGAAGGGGCAACUGGAAUUCUCGGUGUAGCGGUGAAAUGCGUAGAUAUCGAGAGGAACACCUGCGGCGAAGGCGGGUUGCUGGGCCGACACUGACGCUGAUGCGCGAAAGCCAGGGGAGCGAACGGG